RNAcentral lists this ribosomal RNA (766 nucleotides) under uncultured bacterium. Its description in RNAcentral is "bacterial SSU rRNA". It matches the Rfam family "Bacterial small subunit ribosomal RNA", at positions 35 to 796 of the family's 1533-position model. The record is from RNAcentral.
GCUGGCGGCAGGCCUAACACAUGCAAGUCGAGCGGUAGAGAGAAGCUUGCUUCUCUUGAGAGCGGCGGACGGGUGAGUAAUGCCUAGGAAUCUGCCUGGUAGUGGGGGAUAACGUUCGGAAACGGACGCUAAUACCGCAUACGUCCUACGGGAGAAAGCAGGGGACCUUCGGGCCUUGCGCUAUCAGAUGAGCCUAGGUCGGAUUAGCUAGUUGGUGAGGUAAUGGCUCACCAAGGCGACGAUCCGUAACUGGUCUGAGAGGAUGAUCAGUCACACUGGAACUGAGACACGGUCCAGACUCCUACGGGAGGCAGCAGUGGGGAAUAUUGGACAAUGGGCGAAAGCCUGAUCCAGCCAUGCCGCGUGUGUGAAGAAGGUCUUCGGAUUGUAAAGCACUUUAAGUUGGGAGGAAGGGUUGUAGAUUAAUACUCUGCAAUUUUGACGUUACCGACAGGAUAAGCACCGGCUAACUCUGUGCCAGCAGCCGCGGUAAUACAGAGGGUGCAAGCGUUAAUCGGAAUUACUGGGCGUAAAGCGCGCGUAGGUGGUUUGUUAAGUUGGAUGUGAAAUCCCCGGGCUCAACCUGGGAACUGCAUUCAAAACUGACUGACUAGAGUAUGGUAGAGGGUGGUGGAAUUUCCUGUGUAGCGGUGAAAUGCGUAGAUAUAGGAAGGAACACCAGUGGCGAAGGCGACCACCUGGACUAAUACUGACACUGAGGUGCGAAAGCGUGGGGAGCAAACAGGAUUAGAUACCCUGGUAGUCC